CAGCAGCCGCGGGAAUACGGAGGGUGCAAGCGUUAUCCGGAUUCACUGGGUUUAAAGGGUGCGUAGGCGGGCAGGUAAGUCAGUGGUGAAAUCUUCGAGCUUAACUCGGAAACUGCCGUUGAUACUAUCUGUCUUGAAUAACGUUGAGGUGAGCGGAAUAUGUCAUGUAGCGGUGAAAUGCUUAGAUAUGACAUAGAACACCGAUUGCGAAGGCAGCUCACUAAACGCUCAUUGACGCUGAGGCACGAAAGCGUGGGGAUCAAACAGGAUUAGAUACCCCGGUAGUCCCUGUCUCUUAUAC
RNAcentral lists this ribosomal RNA (301 nucleotides) under uncultured bacterium. Its description in RNAcentral is "partial 16S ribosomal RNA". It matches the Rfam family "Bacterial small subunit ribosomal RNA", at positions 509 to 807 of the family's 1533-position model. The record is from RNAcentral.